CGGAGCGUGGAAGCGGUUUAGUUUUAAUUAAACCGCAACGAGAGAAGUUUUCUCUGACGAGGUUCGGGACCAAGAGGUCGCAAGUUCAAAUCUUGUCACUCCGACCA
This 107-nucleotide transfer RNA is filed under the name Clostridia bacterium. Its description in RNAcentral is "tRNA-Pro". The record is from RNAcentral. Lineage: Bacteria; Bacillati; Bacillota; Clostridia.